ACGAACUUACUUGAACAUUAUCUGUUCUAUGGGCUCGUACCUUUGUAUCCUUGAGUUCCAAGGAGACAGGAACCCCGUAUGUUUGAUGAACCAUGACCGCAUGAACAGUGCGUGAUUAAUGGCGCGCAGGCCUAUGAUGUAGUCCCUGGCGCUGUAGAUGAUCGUUCUCAGCUUGGCCCCUUAACAUGUUGUGGUGGUCGUGUGAUUGUCUAACAGACU
Papaver somniferum (opium poppy) is the source of this 219-nucleotide small nucleolar RNA. RefSeq annotates it as small nucleolar RNA U3. NCBI's taxonomy places the organism in Eukaryota, Viridiplantae, Streptophyta, Magnoliopsida, Ranunculales, Papaveraceae. The record is from RefSeq and is a predicted model, not a curated record. The transcript has a single exon.